This is a non-coding RNA of Caenorhabditis elegans, 21 nucleotides long. The record is from Ensembl. NCBI's taxonomy places the organism in Eukaryota, Metazoa, Nematoda, Chromadorea, Rhabditida, Rhabditidae.
UACUCCACAAAUUUCUGUUUU